RNAcentral lists this ribosomal RNA (256 nucleotides) under uncultured bacterium. RNAcentral describes it as "partial 16S ribosomal RNA". It matches the Rfam family "Bacterial small subunit ribosomal RNA", at positions 333 to 599 of the family's 1533-position model. The record is from RNAcentral.
UUGUACCUACGGGGGGCAGCAGUAGGGAAUUUUCGGCAAUGGGGGGAACCUUGACCGAGCAACGCCGCGUGAACGAAGAAGUUAUUCGUAAUGUAAAGUUCUUUUAUCAGGGAAGAAAGAGGAAUUUGACGGUACCUGAGGAAUAAGCUCCGGCUAACUACGUGCCAGCAGCCGCGGUAAUACGUAGGGAGCGAGCGUUAUCCGGAAUUAUUGGGCGUAAAGGUUGCGUAGAUGGCAUAGUAAGUCUUUUUUAAAA